GAUGAACGCUGGCGGCGUGCCUAAUACAUGCAAGUCGAGCGAACAGAUGAGGAGCUUGCUCCUCCGACGUUAGCGGAGGACGGGUGAGUAACGCGUGGAUAACCUACCUAUAAGACUGGGAUAACUUCGGGAAACCGGAGCUAAUACCGGAUAAUAUAUUGAACCGCAUGGUUCAAUAGUGAAAGACGGUUUUGCUGUCACUUAUAGAUGGAUCCGCGCCGCAUUAGCUAGUUGGUAAGGUAACGGCUUACCAAGGCAACGAUGCGUAGCCGACCUGAGAGGGUGAUAGGCCACACUGGAACUGAGACACGGUCCAGACGCCUACGAGAGGCAGCAGUAGGGAAUCUUCCGCAAUGGGCGAGAGCCUGACGGAGCAACGCCGCGUGAGUGAUGAAGGUCUUCGGAUCGUAAAACUCUGUUAUUAGGGAAGAACAAAUGUGUAAGGAACUAUGCACGUCUUGACGGUACCGAGUCAGAAAGCCACGGCUAACUACGUG
RNAcentral lists this ribosomal RNA (497 nucleotides) under uncultured bacterium. RNAcentral describes it as "partial 16S ribosomal RNA". It matches the Rfam family "Bacterial small subunit ribosomal RNA", at positions 28 to 507 of the family's 1533-position model. The record is from RNAcentral.